This 137-nucleotide ribosomal RNA is filed under the name uncultured bacterium. RNAcentral describes it as "partial 16S ribosomal RNA". It matches the Rfam family "Bacterial small subunit ribosomal RNA", at positions 355 to 509 of the family's 1533-position model. The record is from RNAcentral.
UGGGGAAUAUUGCACAAUGGGGGAAACCCUGAUGCAGCGACGCCGCGUGAGCGAUGAAGUAUUUCGGUAUGUAAAGCUCUAUCAGCAGGGAAGAAAAUGACGGUACCUGACUAAGAAGCCCCGGCUAACUAUGUGCC